CAGUCGUGCCGACGAGAAAUCAACCUUUCGAGUGCGAACCUGCGGGCGUGCGUGAGUCUUUAACGGGCCUCGCUGUUUGCAAUGUUUGUGCUUUUGGGUGUUAUAGCCUUGUGUUGUAUGUCUUGGUUGGGACUGAGGAACGCAGCGCGCCAUUUUGGCCGGGGGUCGCUCCUCUCGACACGCGCUUAGGAUGCUGGCAUAAUGGCUUUAAGCGACCCGUCUUGAAA
RNAcentral lists this ribosomal RNA (227 nucleotides) under Glomus sp. (unid). The record is from RNAcentral. Lineage: Eukaryota; Fungi; Glomeromycota; Glomeromycetes; Glomerales; Glomeraceae.